GUUCAAAAUGAAAUACCUGUUUGCUCUACUGGUUUUGUUGCCAAUUGUGUUCUGUGCUCCACAGGAAAGAUUCGUUUUGGACACCUUCGGACUUGACAAAGUAGUUCAAGAGGUCGAACAGUUUGCCCAUUCAGGAAUGGCACAAGGUGCCUGUGAAACUGAGUGCCAAAACCUUGUUCACGGAUUUGUAGCAACUUUCUGCGGACCAGCCUGUUCAACCGUCCUAAAAUUAAUACCAGCUGC
Long non-coding RNA from Mytilus californianus (California mussel), 243 nucleotides. RefSeq lists it as uncharacterized. The transcript has 3 exons. NCBI's taxonomy places the organism in Eukaryota, Metazoa, Mollusca, Bivalvia, Mytilida, Mytilidae. The record is from RefSeq and is a predicted model, not a curated record.